UCGAGAGGAAAUCGAGGGACGCUGUCCCUCAAAGCAACUGAAAUAUAGCGAAGAAGCUCGGCAGUUGCAGUAAACUAUUUCCUUUGCCUUCAGGUUAUCACCCAGGACGCCGCUGGGCUGUUCUAGUUCCCGCGAUAGGCCAUUGGUAGCAGAAGCCAGUCAACGCCACCACUACACAGAGAAUCAAAGACAAGCUGGGUUGGAAAUCCGUCUGGUCCGUUCCCACCCCCACUUUGCAGGCUUUGCAACCAGCACAGAGCCCAAAGCGGGGCUUGAAC
Molecule: long non-coding RNA, 278 nt
Organism: Lynx canadensis (Canada lynx)
Lineage: Eukaryota; Metazoa; Chordata; Mammalia; Carnivora; Felidae
Exons: 3
Source: RefSeq, a predicted model, not a curated record